GCGCUCGUAGCUCAGCUGGAUAGAGUACUGCCCUCCGAAGGCAGGGGUCGGACGUUCGAAUCGUCUCGGGCGCGCCA
Molecule: transfer RNA, 77 nt
Filed under: Gammaproteobacteria bacterium
Lineage: Bacteria; Pseudomonadati; Pseudomonadota; Gammaproteobacteria
Also listed under: 1 other name
Description: tRNA-Arg
Rfam family: tRNA
About the family: Transfer RNA (tRNA) molecules are approximately 80 nucleotides in length. Their secondary structure includes four short double-helical elements and three loops (D, anti-codon, and T loops).
Source: RNAcentral